RNAcentral lists this ribosomal RNA (301 nucleotides) under uncultured bacterium. RNAcentral's name for it is "partial 16S ribosomal RNA". It matches the Rfam family "Bacterial small subunit ribosomal RNA", at positions 509 to 809 of the family's 1533-position model. The record is from RNAcentral.
CAGCCGCCGCGGGAAUACGUAGGUGGCAAGCGUUGUCCGGAAUUAUUGGGCGUAAAGGGCUCGCAGGCGGUUUCUUAAGUCUGAUGUGAAAGCCCCCGGCUCAACCGGGGAGGGUCAUUGGAAACUGGGGAACUUGAGUGCAGAAGAGGAGAGUGGAAUUCCGCGUGUAGCGGUGAAAUGCGUAGAGAUGUGGAGGCACGCCAGUGGCGAAGGCGACUCUCUGGUCUGUAACUGACGCUGAGGAGCGAAAGCGUGGGGAGCGAACAGGAUUAGAUACCCCGGUAGUCCCUGUCUCUUAUAA